GGGGACGCGUGGUUUCGACAGGGGAGGUGUGUUACAGGACUGCAAGCGGAGGUGCCGCUCCCUCCUUAAACUGGUGGCAAAAAACAAACGCAGAACCAGAAAUGGUUGCAGCCUAAUAUAGGUUGCCAUCUAACCUGACCCCACCCCGACGGGUUAGGAUUAGGUGCCGAAAAGCCGGGGUGCCGUCGCUUUAACGCCGAUGGAAGCGGCGAAAGAUUAAUCGGCUGGCCGGACCCGACUCGGUCAGUUGAGGCGGGACCGGUAAGAUUAAAGAGCUGACUAAGCUUGUAGGAUGUCCUGGACAGCUUCUUUUGGACGGGGAGUUCGACUCUCCCCCGUCUCCACCA
Molecule: transfer-messenger RNA, 347 nt
Filed under: Dehalococcoidales
Lineage: Bacteria; Bacillati; Chloroflexota; Dehalococcoidia
Also listed under: 1 other name
Description: RBG-13-51-18 sp016930185 Standard tmRNA
Rfam family: transfer-messenger RNA
About the family: Bacterial tmRNA, also known as 10Sa RNA or SsrA, is named for its dual tRNA and mRNA-like properties. Its role is to liberate the mRNA from a stalled ribosome.
Source: RNAcentral